UGGGGAAUAUUGGACAAUGGGCGAAAGCCUGAUCCAGCCAUGCCGCGUGUGUGAAGAAGGUCUUCGGAUUGUAAAGCACUUUAAGUUGGGAGGAAGGGCAUUAACAUAAUACGUUAGUGUUUUGACGUUACCGACAGAAUAAGCACCGGCUAACUCUGUGCCAGCAGCCGCGGUAAUACAGAGGGUGCAAGCGUUAAUCGGAAUUACUGGGCGUAAAGCGCGCGUAGGUGGUUUGUUAAGUUGGAUGUGAAAUCCCCGGGCUCAACCUGGGAACUGCAUUCAAAACUGACUGACUAGAGUAUGGUAGAGGGUGGUGGAAUUUCCUGUGUAGCGGUGAAAUGCGUAGAUAUAGGAAGGAACACCAGUGGCGAAGGCGACCACCUGGACUAAUACUGACACUGAGGUGCGAAAGCGUGGGGAGCAAACA
Molecule: ribosomal RNA, 427 nt
Filed under: uncultured bacterium
Lineage: Bacteria
Description: partial 16S ribosomal RNA
Rfam family: Bacterial small subunit ribosomal RNA
Source: RNAcentral